AAGUCGUAACAAGGUUUCUGUAGGUGAACCUGCAGAAGGAUCAUUCUUGUAAACUAGAGAGGUUCUCUUUCCUUCGGGAUCGAGUUCUAAUCAAACACUAUGUGAACUUAUUAGUGACCCAGUAGUGCUGAUGCUUCUUUGGGAGUGUUGGCCGAAGCGGGCGCUAGGGGCUUAUCAACUUUUUACAUUAUUGCCUAAAACAUUCAGUGAAUUAAUAUAACCUUUAACAAUGGAUCUCUUGGCUCCU
RNAcentral lists this unclassified non-coding RNA (247 nucleotides) under fungal sp. Its description in RNAcentral is "partial internal transcribed spacer region". The stretch from base 1 to 46 matches the Rfam family "Eukaryotic small subunit ribosomal RNA", at positions 1786 to 1831 of the family's 1831-position model. Lineage: Eukaryota; Fungi. The record is from RNAcentral.